This is a long non-coding RNA of Hippocampus zosterae (dwarf seahorse), 320 nucleotides long. RefSeq lists it as uncharacterized. Lineage: Eukaryota; Metazoa; Chordata; Actinopteri; Syngnathiformes; Syngnathidae. The transcript is spliced from 2 exons. The record is from RefSeq and is a predicted model, not a curated record.
GCAAACUACGGCCCGCGGGCCAAAUCCGACCCAUUGGUCUUUUUAAUUCGGCCCGCCGAAGGUUGGUACACAAUUAAGGUUCGAUGUCAACGACUGCAUUCAUUUAAUUUGGACUUGUAAUGACAGGCAUUUCAACGCCAGGUGGCACAGUUAUUUGAAGUUGCAGAGCAUAGGGAGGAAGGGGGAGACGAUACGGAAGCCCGCAGUAGCGCCAAGUCAAGCAAAUCCCGUUCGAUACGACGGAAUAAUGUACUCUUAAAGUCUGAAAAACGUGCCAAAAAAUGCAAAAUACUGCUUUUCAAAUAAAGAAAUCCAAUUAA